GGGCGGUGGAGAGAACCAGGUCAAUCAGCAGCGGAACGGCCGCCUUUCUCCCCCUAUCUGUGGGUUGCCAGUGUUAGCAGAAGUUGCAGUUUGCUUUACGUGAGUCCAUUUGGGAGUGGAGAGUGAGUGGCUUGAUCACCAAAUACUGAUCCCAUCCCUGGAAGAGUCGGGUGGCUUAGUGAAUGUGUAUGCACAAUCAGUUGGCCUGCUGCCACCGGAAAGACAACAUGGACACCAUACUGCUUCAAGUCCUAAUCAGAAUGGCUACAGGACAGGAGUUCAAACUGAGGUUGAGUAAAACCCAUUCACAAUGCUAACAGUAAUUUCCUCCUGCACAAAGUGACUAAAGGUGAUAAAGAACUGAAGGAGAAGAUUCCAGCUAGCAUUGGAAAAGCCAGAUGACAAGUGAGCUAUUUGGUUUUUGUAGCAAGGUGCAACAAAUUAAACAAGUGAAACGUCAUCACCCUGCGGUGAGAGUCAGGUCUAUCAAAGAGCUGGUUAUGUUCAUCUGUCAAGAAAAGGAUUUAAGGAUAUGGGAAGAAGCAAGCAAGAGUAUCUGCUAAUGCAGAAAGAAGAUAAAGAAAUCUGUAGAACGCAUAAGUGAGAAAAACCAUGGUGGGACUACAGUUUCAGUGGAUAAAAGCCUCACAGCUCAAAUGAAUGUGGAGGGUAUUUUUAUGACAUAAUUUCCUGCAUAGGGUGACUAGAUCCCAAUUUACUGGAAAUAGCCUGAUUUUGAGAAAAUGCCCCUGCCAAUUCUAUCAAAAUCAAAGCCUUCUUGGACAGACACAUUUGGAGUUAUUCGAAAGAAGGACCGUGCUGUUUGUGCUUUCUAUUGUGAAAGUGUUGUUUAUCGCACAUCAAGUGUUCGAUGACAAUUUGAAACGAAGCACAAGAAAACUUUUCUUGACGAAGCAGACAAGACUGGAUUGAUCAA
Molecule: long non-coding RNA, 937 nt
Organism: Gopherus flavomarginatus (Mexican gopher tortoise)
Lineage: Eukaryota; Metazoa; Chordata; Testudines; Testudinidae
Exons: 3
Source: RefSeq, a predicted model, not a curated record